UGCGGGGUGGUGUAAUGGUAACACGCCAGACUUUGGAUCUGUGCGACUCUAGGUUCGAAUCCUAGCCCCGCAGCAA
This 76-nucleotide transfer RNA is filed under the name Candidatus Gottesmanbacteria bacterium RIFOXYB1_FULL_47_11. RNAcentral describes it as "tRNA-Gln". It matches the Rfam family "tRNA". From Rfam's summary of the family: Transfer RNA (tRNA) molecules are approximately 80 nucleotides in length. Their secondary structure includes four short double-helical elements and three loops (D, anti-codon, and T loops). Further hydrogen bonds mediate the characteristic L-shaped molecular structure. tRNAs have two regions of fundamental functional importance: the anti-codon, which is responsible for specific mRNA codon recognition, and the 3' end, to which the tRNAs corresponding amino acid is attached (by aminoacyl-tRNA synthetases). tRNAs cope with the degeneracy of the genetic code in two manners: having more than one tRNA (with a specific anti-codon) for a particular amino acid; and 'wobble' base-pairing, i.e. permitting non-standard base-pairing at the 3rd anti-codon position. Lineage: Bacteria; Candidatus Gottesmaniibacteriota. The record is from RNAcentral.